GUCCCUGCCAGAUGUUUUCAUUAAAUAUCAGUCCAUGUUCACGUUCUUCCCUUCACCUUUCACGAAGAAAGUCGUUCCCUUCUUUUUCCCCUACAACAAAGCCUUAAGACAAUAAUAAAUUAUACUGAACAUAUUCAGGCAUACAAGAAAUACAAUUAAAAAGAAUUCAAGUCGUGUAUCAAUCUCAGUUGGCUUUAAAAUGAUAUAAGUAACUGGGAUAUCAAUUUGAUGCCGAGAAAUGAUGUAGUGACCUGUGGAUUUCCAUUCGUCUUAGUAACUGCAAACAUGCUCGUAGUUCAGUCUUGCAUAGGUCAUCGAAAGCCAGCUUCUAAGAUGAAAUAGGUGAGAAACUUGCUGUCCAGACAGAGAGCUUCGGUCCCUACCUUCUAAGUGCAUCCUGUAGCCAAAGUACUGUGACUGGAAAUAUUCUCUGUGUGUUGCCCCGUACAGAGGUCUGGGCCCUUCAUUUGUGCAGAAGUAGCAGCAACGUUCUCUUUCAUUUCAGGUCUUUGAAAAUACCUCCGGCUCUCUUGCUGCUUUUGUCCCCAACUAACCUUUACUCCAAAGGCUCAGAUCUUUUUCCAUGCACCACCCUCUCUCUACCUGCAAAAGACUCCACUUGCACAGGCUUUAAAAAAUAAAGACUUAAAUACCAGGAAAGACAUCAUAAGAUAUCUCUGAUUAAGUGUUCAUUUUAUGAUUUAGUAAGAAUAUUUUGGUACAUUGUUUUUCAGGGGAAGAUGCAGGACAAUGAUUAAAGCGUGGCAUGCCACUGCACAGUAAACAAAUACUGUCAAGGGAGUCGAAGCUCGCUUACCUAUGGGGAGUGUGUUUUACGUUGGGAGGAAAGGUGGAAGAAACUUCAUGCAGAGAAGAGCAGGCUCUGAAACACAACAGGGAAUUGUUGAAAGGUCAGCAGACGAGGAAAUUUAAGAGUGAGCUGCCGAGGGCUCCACGUCACUGCCGUUUGAGUCACUCUAUCUAGGAGCUGCCCAUGAUAGGCAAGUUUUUCACUUUUUGUCUCACAAACGUUCAAAGGAGCAGACAGAUGUUUGGAAA
This 1059-nucleotide long non-coding RNA is filed under the name Fukomys damarensis (Damara mole-rat). Its description in RNAcentral is "lncRNA (ENSFDAG00000028633.1)". Lineage: Eukaryota; Metazoa; Chordata; Mammalia; Rodentia; Bathyergidae. The record is from RNAcentral.